This 560-nucleotide ribosomal RNA is filed under the name Suwallia errata. RNAcentral describes it as "Suwallia teleckojensis partial 16S ribosomal RNA". It matches the Rfam family "Bacterial large subunit ribosomal RNA", at positions 1796 to 2624 of the family's 2925-position model. Lineage: Eukaryota; Metazoa; Arthropoda; Insecta; Plecoptera; Chloroperlidae. The record is from RNAcentral.
UCGCCUGUUUAUCAAAAACAUGUCUUUAUGAUAAUAAUUUAAAGUCUGACCUGCCCACUGAAUUUAAUUUGAAGGGCCGCGGUAUUUUGACCGUGCAAAGGUAGCAUAAUCAUUAGUCUUUUAAUUGGAGGCUGGAAUGAAUGGUUGGACGAGGCAUUGACUGUCUCAGUGUGAAUGAUAUUAGAAUUUAACUUUUAAGUCAAAAGGCUUAAAUUUUUUUGAAGGACGAGAAGACCCUAUAGAGCUUUAUAGUAAAUAAUAUAUAAUUUAUUUAGUUGAAUUUAUGUUAUAGUUUAUUAACUAUUUUGUUGGGGUGACAGGAAGAUAAAUAAAACUCUUUUUAAUUUUAAACCAUUGAUUUAUGAAUUGUUGAUCCAUUAUUAAUGAUUAUAAGACUAAGUUACCUUAGGGAUAACAGCGUAAUCUUUUUUGAGAGUUCUUAUCGACAAAAAGGGUUGCGACCUCGAUGUUGGAUUAAGGGUAAUUUUGGGUGUAGAUGUUCAAAUUUUAGGUCUGUUCGACCUUUAGAUCCUUACAUGAUCUGAGUUCCAAACCGGAGA